AAAGGAAUAGACGGGGGCCCGCACAAGCGGAGGAACAUGUGGUUUAAUUCGAUGAUACGCGAGGAACCUUACCCGGGCUCGAACGAUGGAGGAAUAUGUGGGAAACUGCAUAGCCAGCAAUGGUCGCCAUCGAGGUGCUGCAUGGUUGUCGUCAGCUCGUGCCGUGAGGUGUCGGCUUAAGUGCCAUAACGAGCGCAACCCUUAUUGUUAGUUGCCAGCGGGUAAAGCCGGGGACUCUAGCAAAACUGCCAGCGUAAGCUGAGAGGAAGGUGGGGAUGACGUCAAAUCAGCACGGCCCUUACGUCCGGGGCGACACACGUGUUACAAUGGCCGAUACAGAGGGCAGCUACCUGGUGACAGGAUGCGAAUCUUCAAAGUCGGUCUCAGUUCGGAUCGAAGUCUGCAACUCGACUUCGUGAAGCUGGAUUCGCUAGUAAUCGCGCAUCAGCCAUGGCGCGGUGAAUACGUUCCCGGGCCUUGUACACACCGCCCGU
RNAcentral lists this ribosomal RNA (494 nucleotides) under uncultured bacterium. Its description in RNAcentral is "bacterial SSU rRNA". It matches the Rfam family "Bacterial small subunit ribosomal RNA", at positions 903 to 1397 of the family's 1533-position model. The record is from RNAcentral.